This 522-nucleotide unclassified non-coding RNA is filed under the name uncultured Glomeromycotina. Its description in RNAcentral is "SSU rRNA". It matches the Rfam family "Eukaryotic small subunit ribosomal RNA", at positions 572 to 1092 of the family's 1831-position model. Lineage: Eukaryota; Fungi; Glomeromycota. The record is from RNAcentral.
AGCCGCGGUAAUUCCAGCUCCAAUAGCGUAUAUUAGUGUUGUUGCGGUUAAAAAGCUCGUAGUUGAAUUUCGGGAUUGGGAUAUAUCGGUCGUGCCUUUAGGGGCAUGAAACGGUGUGUAGCCAAUUUCUCACCUUCUGGUGAGUCGGGAUGCUCUUGGGUGUUUCGAUGAACCAGGACAUUUACUUUGAAAAAAUUAGAGUGUUUAAAGCGGGCAUUUUUGCUUGAAUACAUUAGCAUGGAAUAAUAAAAUAGGACGAUGGUUUUAUUUUGUUGGUUUUAGGGCCACGUAAUGAUUAAUAGGGAUAGUUGGGGGCAUUAGUAUUCAAUUGUCAGAGGUGAAAUUCUUGGAUUUAUUGAGGACUAACUACUGCGAAAGCAUUUGCCAAGGAUGUUUUCAUUAAUCAAGAACGAAAGUUAGGGGAUCAAAGACGAUUUAUGUACGUCGUAGUCUUAACCAUAAACUAUGCCGACUAGGAAUCAGACAAAGUUCAUUUUUUAACGACUUGUUUGGUACCUUACG